GCCGGGCGCAGUGGCACAUGCCUGUAACCCCAGCCACUUGGGAGGCUGAGACAGGAGAAUUACGAGUUCAAAGCCAGCCUUAGCAAAAACAAGGCACUGAGCAACUCUGUGAGACCCUGUCUCUA
This 125-nucleotide small RNA is filed under the name Marmota monax (woodchuck). Lineage: Eukaryota; Metazoa; Chordata; Mammalia; Rodentia; Sciuridae. The record is from RNAcentral.